RNAcentral lists this ribosomal RNA (254 nucleotides) under uncultured bacterium. RNAcentral describes it as "partial 16S ribosomal RNA". It matches the Rfam family "Bacterial small subunit ribosomal RNA", at positions 524 to 776 of the family's 1533-position model. The record is from RNAcentral.
UACGGAGGGUGCAAGCGUUGUUCGGAAUUAUUGGGCGUAAAGCGCGCGCAGGCGGCCUGAAAAGUCUAUGGGUGAAAUGCCGGGGCUCAACCCCGUGUGUGCCCAGGAUACUGUCAGGCUGGAGACACGUAGAGGCAAGCGGAAUUCCAGGUGUAGCGGUGAAAUGCGUAGAUAUCUGGAGGAACACCGGUGGCGAAGGCGGCAUCCUGGACCGGUAUUGACGCUGAGGCGCGAAAGCUAGGGGAGCAAACGGG